RNAcentral lists this long non-coding RNA (658 nucleotides) under Nicotiana tabacum (common tobacco). Its description in RNAcentral is "long non-coding RNA (NTAB_LNC017654)". The record is from RNAcentral. Lineage: Eukaryota; Viridiplantae; Streptophyta; Magnoliopsida; Solanales; Solanaceae.
ACAUGCAUUACAACAGUUCUAAAUGACACUCCCUCCAUCCGUUUAUAAAAUGACAGUUUUUGAAAAGUUUGGUGUUAUAUAUAAUACAUUAUAAUAAUAUAGAAAAACUAAUCUAAUAAUGAUUGAGUAAACUAAUACGGCAGAGGCCAUCAUCACAUCAACAAUAUCGAAGUUCCAAAAUUGAAUAGUUUAGCGAAUUAAAAUUAUUAUGUUAAACCUUAACACGUCGAGAUAAAUACAAAAAUUGGAUCGGGAGUAUGACCUUCCUAACAUAAUACAAAAGCAGAUCCUCUUCCAAGCCGCAUUAAUAAAAAAACACGGUUGCCGAAAUAUACAGAGCUAAUCCAACUAGUCAGAAAAGAAGAUCCAUACAAGAACAGGACUUUUCACCAAUAACUAUUUGUAAGGAAUCCAGCACAUAGCAACAACGAUCCAAAACGAACUACAGAAUCAUCACACAAGCAAGGAUUUAAACAGCCCAUGCUAAAAACAUCGAGCAAUUUACAUCCCAAAUAAAAAAAAAUUUAAAAAAAAAAGGAAGGAUAGAAAAGUACCGGAGAGAAGAUCCUGAUAAACCAACAUUAUCGUAGAAAAUUUUUCUCUGUUUCUCCCUCUGAAGAACUUGCUCAACAAAAACGCACAAGAGGAGGAGAAAACA